GUUGGGAAUCUUCGGCAAUGGGCGCAAGCCUGACCGAGCAACGCCGCGUGAGUGAUGAAGGUUUUCGGAUUGUAAAGCUCUGUCUUCCGGGACGAUAAUGACGGUACCGGAGGAGGAAGCCACGGCUAACUACGUGCCAGCAGCCGCGGUAAUACGUAGGUGGCGAGCGUUGUCCGGAAUUACUGGGCGUAAAGGGCGCGUAGGCGGCCGGUCAAGUCAGAUGUGAAAUCCCCGGGCUUAACCAGGGAACUGCAUUUGAAACUGGCGGGCUUGAGGGCAGGAGAGGAAAGCGGAACGCCCAGUGUAGCGGUGAAAUGCGUAGAUAUUGGGAGGAACACCAGUGGCGAAGGCGGCUUUCUGGACUGUCACUGACGCUGAGGCGCGAAAGCCAGGGGAGCGAACGGGAUUAGAAACCCGAGUAGUCC
This 425-nucleotide ribosomal RNA is filed under the name uncultured bacterium. RNAcentral's name for it is "partial 16S ribosomal RNA". It matches the Rfam family "Bacterial small subunit ribosomal RNA", at positions 354 to 796 of the family's 1533-position model. The record is from RNAcentral.